GUGCGCGGAAGGCUGCGUUCGCUACAGACGCGUGCGGAACCAGCAUUGGAGUCGACUCAGACUUGAACGUAUCGUGAGUACUUUGCUAAGAAGGCACAAGUACUCCUCCUCCACCGUGUGUCAAAAUUCCUCAGCACACCCGCCUAUACGCCGGUGCUUCUUUUCCUUCUUUCUGGCAAAUCGACGCACACUAUCGCACCCCACCUAUAUAAGGCGCUCACCACUUGCUAUAGACAUACAUGCCCUCUGGUAAACCACGUCUUCUGGGCCUCCAUCCUCUUAGUUCCUCCCCGAUACUGAGAGUGAGUACACAUUUUACUUGCAUUUUCCAGUGUAUAAUGUUCGGCCCCAUGCAACCUACAUAAGCUGAAAUCAGUUAUAUAAAUGCAAUAGCGCCUGUCCGUGUCCGCCUUGUGUCCUCGACUGUUCGCGCGCUCCUCAGUUAUGACUUUGUACCAAGUGGGCAACGCUUCUACCUUGCUGUAAUAAGUUAGACGGACCCCCGUUGUACCUGACUGAAAAAUUUUCUUCGCGCUAAUGAGCGCAUAAGCAGAAGUAAUCAAUUUGUGUAUAUAACUUUGGCGAGGUCUGUAAGAACGAAUGGAGAUAGAAAUCACCAGGAAUAUUACUUUUGUUCGUGUGUGCGCUAGAAACCUUUCCCCUUCCGCAGAUAAGUGUGUCCAGAAAGGAUGAGUGUUUUGCUGAAGAAGAAAACUUGCGCGUUGUAGUGAAAAUAAACAAAAUAGGAGACAGCGACCUUUACGGUGCACACAUUUUUUUGCGGAGUGCUAAUUGUUCCGCUGUUUCAGAUGGCUCCCCCAACCAAUAGGUCUAGACACUGGGCAAAGCCCAGCCACCGAGACCGAAACCGAGACAGGAACCGAAGGCCACGACGACGGGACGCCGCGACGAUGGCGCAGAGCGAGCAAAACAGGGUCACGCUCCUCGCGUGGACUGAACCCUGGGGCAUGCAGCCACAGGGAGUACGCGGGGACCCGUGGCCCAACCGGUUCCAAGACAUCCGACCCGUACAGAUGGGCCAAGCGGCGGGGGAGCAGGAAGCGGAGGUCGUCACGGCACCUUCAGGGCACGUACUUGAGACGUGCCCAACUUGCGGCGCCUUCGCCGUCAGCAGGGCUGUGCACAUCCGCACGAAGCGACAUAUUGAAGCUCUGCUGGCGGCGGAGGAGGCAGCUCCGAAGAAGCAGGAACCGAGAAAAGAACUGAGAACCGAGAAACCGUAGACAUGUAAAUAUAAGUGCUAUUUUUAUUGUUCGUGAAAUUAUGUUAAUGUAUGCAGAUGGAACGCAAUAAAAUUUAUCUCAAACUUGUAAACAGUACACUAUGUGUAUUUCCUUUGCCUUCGGCAAUAGACUUUAGUAUGGAGAUAA
Long non-coding RNA from Ornithodoros turicata, 1391 nucleotides. RefSeq lists it as uncharacterized. The record is from RefSeq and is a predicted model, not a curated record. The transcript has 3 exons. Lineage: Eukaryota; Metazoa; Arthropoda; Arachnida; Ixodida; Argasidae.